GUAUUGUUAUUUAAAAAGCCAUUCAAUUACAUCAAUGGUGGUUUGUGAAGAGACAUAGACAAUGUAAGUUUUGCAACCACAAUGCCUACAGAGUGUGCACAGGUGGAUAUUGGUUUUGUUAAGAGUGCACAUUGCUCUUUGAAAAAAAGCCAGCACAUCCUUUAAAAAUCAAUAAUGAUCCUUCCGCAGGUUCACCUACGGAAA
This 204-nucleotide unclassified non-coding RNA is filed under the name uncultured fungus. RNAcentral's name for it is "sequence contains ITS1". Lineage: Eukaryota; Fungi. The record is from RNAcentral.